RNAcentral lists this transfer RNA (59 nucleotides) under Heterocephalus glaber (naked mole-rat). It matches the Rfam family "tRNA", at positions 6 to 65 of the family's 71-position model. Rfam says of the family: Transfer RNA (tRNA) molecules are approximately 80 nucleotides in length. Their secondary structure includes four short double-helical elements and three loops (D, anti-codon, and T loops). The record is from Rfam by way of RNAcentral. Lineage: Eukaryota; Metazoa; Chordata; Mammalia; Rodentia; Bathyergidae.
UGUGGCUCAGUGAGAGUGCUUGCCUAACAUGCAAUAUGGCCUGGGUUCAAUCCCCAGCA